UGGGGAAUAUUGGACAAUGGGGGCAACCCUGAUCCAGCCAUGCCGCGUGAGUGAAGAAGGCCUUCGGGUUGUAAAGCUCUUUCGGCGGGGACGAUGAUGACGGUACCCGCAUAAGAAGCCCCGGCAAACUUCGUGCCAGCAGCCGCGGUAAUACGAAGGGGGCUAGCGUUGUUCGGAAUUACUGGGCGUAAAGCGCGCGUAGGCGGUGAACUUUGUCAGAGGUGAAAGCCUGGGGCUCAACUCCAGAAUUGCCUUUGAAACGGGUUCGCUAGAGUCCGAGAGAGGAUGGCGGAAUUCCUAGUGUAGAGGUGAAAUUCGUAGAUAUUAGGAAGAACACCGGUGGCGAAGGCGGCCAUCUGGCUCGGUACUGACGCUCAGGCGCGAAAGCGUGGGGAGCAAACAGG
Molecule: ribosomal RNA, 404 nt
Filed under: uncultured bacterium
Lineage: Bacteria
Description: bacterial SSU rRNA
Rfam family: Bacterial small subunit ribosomal RNA
Source: RNAcentral